Molecule: long non-coding RNA, 2752 nt
Organism: Malaclemys terrapin pileata
Lineage: Eukaryota; Metazoa; Chordata; Testudines; Emydidae
Exons: 4
Source: RefSeq, a predicted model, not a curated record
GUUGCUGUGCCUGACGGCUCUCGUAACACAUCCAAAGUGCACCCCCGCUCAGGAAACCUGCUUUCUUACCGGAUUACGAAGGACCAAGCCAAUCAUUAGAGCGUGAGCCAAACUAUGCUGGUUUGAGAUACUGCGUGCUGCACUCCCCGAAUUGCAUAAUUGCGAGCUCAGCAAGGGGACUCGUUCCAGGACGGCUGAGUGAGGCUGCAGGACUGGCAGGUCGAGAGCAGGGACUGGACCCUAACUCUGCGCUCAGGAAUAACUCAGAAAAGUCAAUGGAGGGGCCUGGGUGUGAAGCUGGUGCCGGGGGAAACCAGGCCCAUCAGGCCUGUAACUUGCUGGAAAGGUGGAAGGCAGAGAAAGAAGACGUAUGGGUAAUGAGGCAGCAGCUUGAUUGUCCACUGACUGCACCGGAUACCCAGAGAAAGUUGCGACUAUGUGAAAACUCGCAAUUACUUUGUAAAUAACAAUGCAAAGUGAAAGACACGGGGAGACCAGCCCCAUGGUUUUGGCUCAGCGUCCAACCUUGCAGCUGCCCCAGGUACUGAGGUAGCUCCGGUUCCCUGACCACACCAGCACAAAAACCAAUUGAGAGAAAGCAGACAGUAUAACUCGUACUAGUCCAGGAUACAGUCAUACACAGUAACAAUAAAGAGCUGUGACUCCAUCCUUCUCUGAGCAGCUGUCACAUUCCCACCACCUUUGGACUCCAUCAUCCCAUUUGGUUCUCACGAAGCCUGGUGAUGUCUGAACCUGGGGAUAUUCUGAACAAAAGGAGCUCUCAGCCACACCUGUAGCUGUUUCCAUCACUUCCCUGCAAUGCAGCAGACAUUCUAGGCUUCAGAAUGACACAGUGACAGUCCUGGAAGAUGUGUGUUGAUUUGUGCAGAUGGCAAAGGGGGUGGGGGUGCUGCAGUGAGGGGCCUGUGCUUGUUUGGCAUUAUUUCAGUUGUGGUGAUUUGUGUCUAGGUGGGUUGCCCUGGGACAUUUGUGUGGGUGGCAAAUUGAGAGGCUUGUGCUGCAGGGAGGAGCUUUGUGCAUUUACAGCAAUUGUGUGCACUGGUUGUGGUGUGGAUUUUUAAAGAACUGUAGCAAUUGAGUCAAGUAAUUCGUCAUCUGUGCAGUCUCCCUCGUACAACCAAUUAAAUUGCUGCAUCCAAAUUAGCUGCAAAGCCAGGGUGGUAAUUGGUUGAGUUACUUCUGAUAUCCUAAAGAUCUAGUACUCUUGGCAUAGCAUAGAUACAUCCAUGAAACAGCACGUCACGUCACUCGAAGUCAAAACUGACGAGAAUUUAAAAAUUAGAUGGUAAUAGACUGCGAAUCUCAGUGAGGACCUGCUGAUAUUCUGCACCAAAAAAGCUCUCAGCCGUGCUUGUAGCUGCCUCACACUGACUGUACGAUGUGGAAUCUUAUUCUGUAGGUAAUACAGCUGGGAAUUCUGCACACGUGUAUACAGUGAGACAUGCCCUAGCUCUAAUUGAGAGGGACUUUUAAAGCACAGAAUGUGUUUGGAGAGAUGGAAAUUUGAAAAACUGGACAUUUUCUACUAGAGGCCAAUGGGAGACGUGGGUCUGAAAGGUUGCCAAUACGAAACAAACAUAGUUCUGGGGGCAGUUAUUUCCUGCCGUUUAUUUGCUUUCCAAUGUAGCCCCUGCUACCAUCUCUCUCCCGUUUUCCUUCCACUCUAUUUUUAUGAUGUCCCAAAAGAGCUUCCCCCUACCCAUGCCUGAUCUCAAGACAAGGCAUGUGGCAGAAUGCCUGAUGGAGCUGGUGGGACAAGCCAAUUUGAAGAGGUCUCAUCCACCCAGUCUGGCCCACCUAUACCUCCCCCACCCACUACUUUUACAUCUUUAGGGCUUUAUCGUGCCAACAAGCAUCACAAUAUCUGAGCACCUUCCACGGAAAAGUGGUAGCAAUUGUGGAGUCCCGACUGGCCUCUCUCCCUUGGUUUCCUGUAUAAUCCUGUGGCAUUACACCCCAUAUUCAGGAUAGUAAAAUUAUGAUGUGAGUAUAGCAUAAUUAUGAUGUAUUUUGUGCAAGAGAAGGCAUGUGAGAUAUCAUUGGAAAGGUUAUGAUUUACUGAAUGAUGAUCAUAUUUGUAUGCAUGUAUUGUUUUUGUAUCUGACAUUCAGAAUACUGUCUAUGCAUCUAUUACAAAUGUGUUUACACCUGGGGAACACCCACUAGACAGAAUGCAAUCUGUCUAGAUUGCGGGUUGGAAAGGCCCAUUAGGAAGAACAAUAGGUCUUAGAAGAUGCUAAUCUCUCAUCAGGGAUCCUUCCUAGUAAAGCCUUCCUGGGGACACUGCAAACAGCCUCGGAUGUAUGGCUGGAGGGUAAGGUGAGCAAGUCACCUGAUACUGGACUCCAUGAUAAUAUUAGUAUUUUUCCACUGAUUGGGGAAGACUGGAAGACAAAGGAUUCCUGCCAUAUGUAAACCCUAUUUAAGGCAGAGGGACAUAAUCAUGGUUAGUUCUUCACUGAAUCCCCACCCAAGAUGACUGCUGUAAAUAUCUAAGAAACAAAGACUGAAGGAGGGGAGAAGGACAGAGCCCAGCCUGGAAAGUUGUCUAGCCUGUGAAUGAAACAUCUGAAGUUUUAAACUGCAGGCAAGUACAGCUGGCCUUCAAGAAUCUCUACAAUCUGCCUAAAACAACAUUUAGGGUGAGAAAUUACUACUUGUAACCAGAUUCUUUAGUAUUUUAAGCUUAGAUUGCGUGUUUGUUUCAUUUGCUGAAUAGUCUGUUUUGAUC